This 72-nucleotide transfer RNA is filed under the name Ornithorhynchus anatinus (platypus). It matches the Rfam family "tRNA". From Rfam's summary of the family: Transfer RNA (tRNA) molecules are approximately 80 nucleotides in length. Their secondary structure includes four short double-helical elements and three loops (D, anti-codon, and T loops). The record is from Rfam by way of RNAcentral. Lineage: Eukaryota; Metazoa; Chordata; Mammalia; Monotremata; Ornithorhynchidae.
AGCAGCGUGGCUUAGUGGAAAGAGCCCGGGCUUGGGAGUCAGAGGUCAUGGGUUCGAAUCCCGCCUCUGCCA